CCAAAUCCUGGAGAAGCAUGUUCAAGAUCACUAAAUGUCUAUUAGUGCCUGUCUUUCUCAGGGAAGUUUUUCAAAGUUACAAAUAGAAAAUAGGUUUUUUAAACAGGUCAUAAUUAGGCAGUUGCCCCAACUGAUAGGCUCGUAAGAAACAAAAGACUCAUUUGGAAGUCUCUAGCCUGAACACCACUCCUGGGGGACAAUUACCCGUAUUCCAGAACAGAACCUGUAGGAGUGACUGACCAAGAGCUGUGGCUUCUCUUAGGCAGCUACAGACACACUUACUUGAAAACAGUAUCUCCCCCCCAUCCUCACCCCUUACUUCCCAAUGCUAAGCAGCCUCUCAAGGCUUGGCACCUUUUUCACCACAAAGGAAUAUUCUGAAGCUAUUAAAAGUAAUCCCUGAGCAUUAAUUAUGAAGACUAUACAGAAACUUGUAAAGUAUUGGUGUUACAUGUGAUAAAAGUAGCAAAAUUAAAAAUUCACUGUCAAUGCCAUUAAGCAAUUUUGAAGAAAACAUUAUACAUACUGUAGAUCAAACAGUACUUACUACAACUAUACCUCAAAUUCUGAAUUAAAGAAGCUUUUGGGGACUGCUCUUGCAAAUGUUACUUUUGAUUAUAAUGCUGUUUUUAUGGGAACAAAGCAUUAGAAAUUGCAUGAAAUAACCAAUUCUCGUGUUCCAUCUGAGUCUUAACUGAAGACUGCAACCAUUAACUACCAAAUAGACCAGACAAAUUUGUCCCUCUUUCCCUAAUUCCUUCAACUGAAGUUUAUCUGCUGUCACCUGCGAGGGACAGUGUGGGAAGACAAAGAAAGGGAUAAAGAAAUGUGAGCUUGGUUUCACAUGACGUGGCAUUUGCAGAAACAAACCCAGGAGGAAUGGCAUUAUCUGCAGAUUUCAUUUCCCAUGCUAUCUCUGUCCCUAAUUAACACAGCUAAUUCUGAGUUUGCUGUACCAUCAUUUAUUAACCAUAUUCAAUUAAUCUAAUCAGCUGUAAAACAGGAGAGGGCAACAGUGCAAGCUUUAAUAAAGUAAGCUCAAUGGACUUGAAAAGCUGCUUAGCUGAGGCUCAUGGUGAAUUCCCACACACACAAAGGGCAAAAGUGGCCUUGGUGAAUAAUUUGCUUUGCAUAUUUUAAACUCAGCAUUCUAUUCAUGAGGCCCCAUAUUAUAAUACAGUUUAGAAAAAAAGCAACAGCAGGUAUACAGAUUAUUUUUAAAGUACACUCAGAGGUAAGAGGGUAGAGAAUUCUGGGCUCUUGGGUGUGGAGGGGAUGGACUGGGCCAGAGUAUUGUCAUAUAGAAACAGUUCAGAAAAAAACUAAAUAAAACAGACAUGACCAUCUAACUGAAAGUGUUACAUCUGCAAUUGAAAAGGUGAUAUUUUACAAUGUUAAAUUCAUUUACCCAGUUUUUUACUGAUCCAAAAGUACACUGGUAAUGCCCUAACUGUAACCCUCAGUUACUAACACAAAAAACAAAAACAGAACUGUCCACUCACAUGAUCAUUUUACAGACACACUGUCAUUUCAAGGAUGUCCUCAGGCAGGCCUGGGGCACGAUUUCCACAUCUGGUGGUCACAAUGUUAGUGCUCUCAGUGUGGACAGGGUAGUCAUUAGGUCAGGAAAUGCACAUGUCAGUGAUGCAAAGAAGAAACCCAGUACUCACUGACUGUAUUUUUAACCCCAAUGUCUGUCAGCAGAAUGAAGAAUGUGAAGAAAAAUGCCACUGGCUGUUUUGGGAACAGAAGAAAUCACAACCAUUGGACUGCAGUUCUUUGCAUGGUUUCUAAAAGUGACAGAAGAAAGCCGGAAAAAAAACUGUGCAUUCAGAAAAACUGGUAUUUAAUCUACUUUGCAUAACCCUUUACAAGGCCUCAAGGCUGAAGUCCCUGUUUGGAGAUUAUGACAUGGAGGGCACAGAAGUGGCAGACGUGGCUCCUUUCAGACUUUGCAACCAAUUCCUGAGCGGGUAUGUGAGUAUGAUCCACUACUCAAAUUACAAGAUAGAGAACUGACUGAGAUCGCUUCAAGAAAUGGCUAAAGAGUGCUCCACCACAUGACAAACAAUGAGGUUUAGUUGAAGGUGUCUCUGCUGUGUGGGAACUUCUGCCAUUGCUCCAACAAUCAGAACGGUUUCCAGGGUCCACUGAGAAAAGAGAAGGCAGAAAACCAAGAAAGGAGAGAGACAACAGGCUCACUGCCCAAAAGACCCCAACAGAAAACACAGCAGGUCACAGCUACAGCCGUAGCCCUCCUUCACAGGUAAAGGCCCAGAUACCCUGAGAAUGUGCAGCAGCCAGAAGGCUGCAAAGAACUUGCUGCUGCCAUUACACUGCUAUGCUGUACCCAAGGUCAACGGCUGCUCUUGGACACCUCCUGAAUGCCAGCUGAGGCCAGUGAUAAUCACCUUCACUCUGGGAAUAAGUUUAAAGGAAAACAUUUCUAAUUCUAGCUUUGUAAACUGCGUGUGGUCCAUGACUUUUAAGAGCUAAUUUUCUAGAAAACUGAAGCACACCCCAUUAAGUAACCAAAAUGUUCCCACUCAUAAUUUUUAUGGAAUUUAUUCUAAUAUAAGUGCUUCUUAAAUUACGUGGAAAAAACAAAACCCCCCACUAUUUUCUGAGCUCGACUGCAUGCUUGACCCUGUGCUAAAUGUUUUACUGCAGUACUACCAUUAAACCACCUUGCAACAAUCCUCGACAGAAGAAACUUAGACCCAGGAAGUUAAAGGACUUGGUGACAUAACCCGGCUGGUAAAGGGGUGAUGCUACAUUCACCUGGUACCAUAUCACCUCCUUGAAGAUAACUGAUCUUUUUUUAGAAAAUAUAUUUCUGAAUCACUCUUGGCAUAGUAAGGCAUUGUGGUUCAAAAAAGACUCUGGAACCAGACUUGCCUGGAUUCAGAACUGGACUGGUUUUACCCCUUAACUAGUUGUGUGACCUUGAGAAGUUAUUCAUCCAUUUUGUGCCUCAAUCACCCCACUUGGAAAAUGGGAAUAACAACAUAAUGCACCUAAGAGGUUGUUCUGAGAUUUAAAUGAGUCAAUCCAUGAAAAAUGUUGACUAAUGUAAAAAGCAUUCAAUAAAUGUUAGUUUUUAUCAUUAAAAGCAGGUGUAAUAACAGUGAAACCCAGGAGGAUUACCUAGGCUAGCUGUCUGGACCUACCCUCAGUGAAUUCGGACUGCGUGCACUCACACACAUUCACAAACACACACUUUUCUGUGUGUGUCCCCCAUGUGCCAGAGAUAUACACACAAUAAUGUAUUUCAUUCUCAAAAUGAAAUGAAAAUCAUGCAAGGGAGUUGCCAUCCUUCAUCAAUAAAGAAAAUGGUUAAACAAAGGUUCUCAAAUAGGAAUUAAUAGAAUCAGGAUUCAAACUUGAGCAGCAGCCCAAGUUCUUUUAUUCAUACCAUGUUAUUUUGAGUUCAUAUGUCUACUUUUUCCAUGUUGACAGCAAAUCCUUUGGUUAUCAUUUAGGAUCAGAGUUUUGGAAGGGACUAGAGUGUAUCUAGACCAAAUUCCCCUUUCUGCUUAUGAAGAAAUGGAAGCCCAGGGAGUUUACUAUUGAUUUGCCCAAAGUCAUAUAAUGAAUGCCACUGUCACAGAACCACCCUGCCACUUGUCCUCUUGAAUACUGAUGGCCCUGCCUCUAGGAGGCCCUCAGCCCUGCUCCAGAUCUUUCAUGGGCUCAGAGGAACCAAUGACCACUAUACAAAUCAAGAAUGCAAAGGCUAAGUGAGGACUCCAGGGGCUUCCCUAGGAGGCAAAUGGGCUUUGUUUCAUCAAGUUUAGUUGCUUGGGCCUGUCUGCUUCCUGGUUCACAGCAGCAUUCUGGACUCAGGGCUGGCAAACAAACCAGGUGUCAGUCUAGUCUGUAAUAUCACUGUGAUUCUGAGGAAAACUGCCAGAUAGGGAUUGACAACAAUACCCAGGGUAGAAAACUUCACUCGGAAAUAAAAAGAAAGGAUGGGCUAGCAUGAAGUUUAAACUUAAUGUGUCAAAGGAAGGAAGCUCACAAUGUAGCUGUUCCUAGCAUGUCACAGUCUCUCCAGGGCCAACGACAUCUGAGCCUAACCCACAGCCCCAUGCAGAGGCAGCGCUGAGACUUCCCACAUAAUUUGUUUCCUUUUCACAAAAGAGUUGGGCUCAUAAUUAAACUCUGUCCCCUCCUGCCCCCAUUCUGCUGUGUGCAUAUUUGACCGCUUCUUACAGGACUGGGUUAGAGGCCAGGAGACAACCCAAAACUGCAAGGUCAUGGCCAGCAGGCAAUGUGAUGCAUGUCUGCACUAACUGUUACUGGGGCUUGUCCAGGGAGAGGUGGAUUUCAUCAUUCUACUCAACACACUUUUAAGAGUUUGCUGGUCAUUUUACACAGUUCUUAGAGACCACUGGAAGGGUCCGCUUCUGUGGGCUAAGUGCCAAAACACUGAGACCACGGAAAACACCAGGACCCAUUCUGAAAGGAGCGGGUUGUCGCGGACUGAGUGUGGUCUGCAACUGAAAUCCCAGGCUCAGGUCUUGAUCGAUCAAGUCAAUUACCCCCACAGAACCUUAGCUUCCCUGUCUAGAACAGGAAGAUAGUAAUCUCUACCCAUGGAUAUGAUUAUUGGGGAGCUUAAACUGUGAUGUAGGUAAAAGUAUUUUAUAAACUAAAAGGUCCAAGUGAAGGUGAGGGGGAACUGAUACCGUCUGCUCAUCUAAUUGGUCUCUCUGCAUAAAAUCCUCAGUGACUUCCCACUGCUCUCAGGUUAAAGUCCAGACUCUUGAACAGGUUUAAAAGCCCUUCACAACCUGCUCUCUAAUUGCCCUUCAUCUUUACCUGUCAUAUGCCUGACUUCAUUUCAGUCUUCAGCUAAACAGGAUACCGCGAGUUUCUCUAGAGGGCUGUGCUGUCUGUCUGUCACACCUGCAGGGGGGAGCCUGCCUCCUCAUACUCUCCCAUUCUUCCCAGCUAACUUCUCUGAUUUUAGCUCAGGUGUCAUUUUCCUCCCAGAAGCUUCCCUCUACUUCUCUAUGCUUUCCUAACAUCUUCUAUCUAUCCCUUUGUAGCCCUUUCCAUCUACUGUGUUAAAUUGCCUAGAUACUUGUUACUCUUUCCCCUCUCAAAAUGUUGUGGACUGAACAACAUUGUUGACUGAAUGGGUGAAUUCAGUGAAAAUGAAAAUGCCUUAGUGUCUGACUAACAGAUCUCUGCAGUUUCUCCCACCCUGAACUUCAUAAGCAAACUCACCCUACCCCAGCCUCUCCUUUCUACUGAUAAGAAAACAAAGGCCAUGAGAUGCUAAAAGACUUGGCUAAAAUCAAAUGGCUCAUCAAUGGCAGAGAUGUGCUGGGACCCUACAUUUCCUAACUCAAUCCCUGAAUUUUCUCCCACAGAAAGCUGACUACGUUCAGACUGUUUGCUAUAACAUCAGUGUCUUUUCAUAGCAAGAGAACUGAAAAGGCAGACGAGAUUUAAGAGCAAGGAGGCUUGAAAUCAGAAAACGAAUGCUCACAGCCUGGCUCUGUGUGACACAGAGCAAUCUCCAGGCCUCUAGGCCUCAAGUACCUCAUCUGUCAAAUGGAAAUUUAGCACCAGCAUACCUAAGCAGCAAAAGGCUCCUAUUAUCUAGAUUACUUUUCACCUACCUCACCGCAUUUUAUGUGAAGAAAAUGAACUGAUCUGAAAAUACUUCAUACACCUCUUCUCAAAGAAAUAUUUUACAACUUUCAAGUAUCUAUUUCUCUGGUAACAGUUAGCUUUAUUGUUCAAACUAAGGCAUUUUUAAGGGCAGGAUUUACAUUCAUGAAGCGAUUUCUUUGUACUAAUGAAAGAAGGUUUACAAGAUCGACACAGCCUUUGCUUGAAUUAACUAAUGUCACUACGUCUGCCUCCUGUCUCCAUGCCAUCAAAACACUAUCACCCACAAUCAUUAACGAAAGAACUAAGAGGACAAACCCUUUUUUCUUUACAGACACUACUUGGUUUCACAGACUCACAGAACACUGCAGCCAGAAGAGACUGGGAAGACCAGGGAAGCCUGCACUUGCCUUUCACAAUAAGACAACAUCCUAAUCUAAACGUUCCGGGGAGGGACUGAUUGGAAACACACACCAAUUGUUUUUCAGAGUACUAUAUGUUUUGCAAUGAUUAGAUGAUUUGAACAACAAAGAAGAGGUAAAUCAUAUAAUGAAAUCACAACAUAAAUUUAACAUGUAAUGGUAUUUAUCAAAAUUGACGGCUGGAGGGCCAAGAUAGAGGCACACCUCUGAUAUUAUGUAUGUGUGUUUUAAAAUUUAAUUAUAAUGGAAGUGAAAGAAAUUAUUUUGCUUGUCCCAUCAAUUUUUCAUGCUAUAUAAGACUGGAAAUUUUCAAAACAAUAAUACUUAGGAAAAACAGGAAACGCACUGACAUUGUUUGUGAACCAUACCCUCCUCAGUCUGUCAUUGUUCAUUACUGGCUGGGACAGAGACAAGCACCAAUUUUUUAUUAUCCAGUUCUAAACAGUGUAAGAGAGCGAUGUAGUCGAAAGUCAGCAUUACUUCUCACACUAUCUCAGGCAGAACUUUCUAACUCCUUACUCAAUAGUUUACUCCAACUGCUAACAAAAGCAGAAGAGAUUGAAGAAGUAGCCAAAGAAACUAAGAGAGGAGGAGCAUAGAAUGUUGUUUUCAUUCUUGUCCUCUUCCCAAUCCAACUCCCUCUCCCCAAACCCUGGUAGGGGUGAGGUGUCAGUGGAGAGUGGAAUGACAAAGUGGCCCAAAUCAUUCCAAAAAUGGAAUAGUUCUCAUAAUAAUUCUCAAUACAUUAGUCCAGAUUUUAUUCAGAUAACUUUAGAAGAGAAAAAGUAAAAAAUUACUUGUUGAAAACCAUAAACAGCUGCUCCAUCCAAAUUCACAAGCAACAAACAAAUUACAGUGGGGUUAGUCACUGACAUCUCAUAAUGCAAACUUUUUCUUUGUAGUGGGCUUUGUGUAUUUGUAUGAGAUUAGAACAUUUUGCAAUGCCUAUUCCAGAUAAAUAUCGCAUAGAGUCAUAAGGAACAAAUUCUUAUAAUUCAACUUCUAAUAGAUCACCCUGUAUUCCAUGUCAAAACUUGACCGUGUAUUUUAGAGAUUGUCCUUCUACUUCAUACAUUAGGAAAAAAAUCUGUAAGUUAUUAAAAUAAUGACUGCCAAGUUCUUUGCCAAAAUAUGUAAAAUUAUAAUGUGUUGUGGGGAAGUCACGUCAGCCCCAGCUCUGCCCGCAGAAAGCUGAGCAACACUACACAUUGCUUAACAGUUUUGUGGUUGGUUGGUAACAUGAUGGGCUGGGAUUCCAUACAUAACCCACUUUUGCAAAGUGCUUUGAAAUCCUACAAGGCUAUCACAGGACUGCAAGUAGCACUGUCAUCCAGCCUCUCCUAUGCUAACAAACCUAAAUCUGAUGAACGUGGGGACAUGCAGAGAGCUUUAGCACUUUCUCCUGGAAGCCAAAAAUUAGAAGUCUGGGCUGAGGAAGAUGAGAGCUCCUUGGAAAAUGUUCAAAGGUUCAGCAACAGGUAAAUACCGAAAUGCCUAAUUAAACUGAUACUGAAUGCUUCAGGUAAGACAGAAAGAAAACAUACUUCAGCACAGCCCAGUAACAGGGCUGCUGCCGAGAACUGUUUCAAACUGUUUCCACUGCUUGAUGUGGCUUCCCAAGGAAGUCAUGAAUAACUCAGUAACUAAAAAAAAAAAGCAGAGGUAUUUCUUCCUCUAAAGACCAUCAUGCACUACUUCCUUUAAGAUUCCUUAUUUCAACUCAAAAUAAGAAAAAUCCACAGACACAAAACUGAACAUAGGAAAAGGACACAUCUCCAGAUACAAUAAUACCCAAUAAUCAUUCAUGGAUAAUAUUUUUAAUACUGAAAUUUAGCUAUAACAUGUUGGAUAGCAAAUAGCUAUCUAUUCAUUUUAGGAAAUAGCAAAUGUGAAGGAUAAUGCCACCCACUCUCUCCCUCCAUUGUCAUGGCAGACAGCAGAAAUACAUCACAGCCCUCAGUCUUGCAGAGCUCAGACACCACAGAACUCUGCACAACAGAGCGUUCCAGGCGGCCACUACCAAUCCCUCAGUAUUGGUCUUCAUGCUGAAGCCUAUUUCAUCCCGACUUGGUAUAUUCUUCAAAUAUGCCAAAAUAUUGAAAUGAUCUUCGGAGGAAGCCACUUCAUGAUUGUUUCAAGACUAUAUAGUAGGACCUUCGUUUAAGCCAUAAAAUGGUCAUUUCUCCAUUUUGUAAUUUUUAAAUGGUAUUAAGAGCAGAAAACAUGAUUGUAAAACAUUAGUUUUACUCUAGACACUAUGCAGUUCCAGUGAGAUAUACAAGCAUUUCGAUGUAAUAAAUGUUUAUAUUCAUCUUUUUAAAAAUAGAAUAUGGCCUUAUUCAACUCAAAUGUCAGUUCCAAACCACUCACUACCCUUCCCUCAAACAAGUGCUGGGCAGAACACUGACACAAACACAGCUCCAUCUGCUAAUUAAAACUGGGCAUGAAACUGUUAACAGGCAUCUGUUGCAUUGUUUGAAGCUAAUGGGCAGAGACAAAGCUGAAAUGGCUCUUCUAAAGCAAACCCACUGAUUUCAUUCAUUUUCUCUUUGGUAUUUGGGGGGUGUUGGAAGCGGGUGUUAAACAGCUUAUUAUGGAGGCUGAAAGAUAAGUGAAAUAUCUUUCACCGUCUAAACAUCCCUUUAAGAUUGAUUAUAGAAAGAAAGAUCUACAGCAUUUUAUAUUGGGGGAAAUAACACUCUUGCGUUAAGAAGUCAAAUGAAGCACUUUUAAUCUCAGACAUCAUCCAUCUAUAAUAUUAUGAAAGAUAACAAAAACUAUAAUUCAAGCAAUGUUUUACAGCUCCAUAGCGUGCUUUCACAAUUCAUCCAGCCAGCCACUCAUUCAUCCAGUUGGUUAGUUAUUUAAUACAGGCUUUGGAGAUUUAAAAGGUGAGUAAGACUUGAUUCCUGCCCUGGGGAAUGCAAUAGCAACCCUGUAAAGUUGGUACAGUAUUAUUACACUCUAUCAUAGAUGAAAGAACUAUAGAAAGACAAUUGACUCACUAAAGGCCAGAAAACUAGGAAUGGCAGAUGCCAGAACAUGACCCCAGAUCUGACCCCAGACCCACUGCUCUUCUUAAUUCACCAUGCUACCUCCUUAACUCCAAACAUGAAACAGUCUACUUCAUCUGCUGCUUACAUUUCAGAAGCUCUGUAUUAUGUUAUAUUCCACAUUACUCACCAGCUAACACCCACUUCCUCAUCCCUGCUCCAACCCUCUUCUCAAUCCUGCUAUGAGAACUCUUCCCCACGAGACUUCCCCAAGUAGCAAAUCUAACACACGCAAGAGAGCUGGUCCCCAGACCGGCUGCGUGUGCAGGGCAAGCAGACCUAAUCCAGAGCCAGCUUCGCACCAUGCCAGCAGCUUCUUGGUCUUCCACUUCUGGUUCUGCGGUUCUUUUCAGAUUUGGUUAUUGGAUUCAUUUCAAAAACCAACUGCUAAAUUUUUCCUUGUCCUCAAAAACUAUACUUAUUUCCCUCGAACACAGCAUCCAAACCUACUUCCCUCUAGCUUUUCUCAGUGGAUCCAAACAAUCGUGGUGCUGUUGCCGAGAGAACCUCCUUGCUGACUUGCUGCCAUGAAGAACAGCUGGUGAAGUUCUUUGUUAAAGUGCACUUAUUCUUAAGACUUGUCUGUAUCUGUAUCCAAGACUCAGUCUCCCCACACUCAUCUUUAAUUUGAAUGGCUUUUCUCAUUCACUAGAACACUUAGGACAACAGCUGAACUCUUUACCAUCAAGUUUUAAAUUUUACUUUUUCUAAAAGCUAUUACUUAGAUGGGAAGCCUACUGACAGCUGUGGAAGAACACAAUGACAUUAAAAUAAGGUUUGAUGUACAAAAUGUUCAAUACAAAGUUGCAUGUUUCUUGCACAUUUUUGUUUGAAAAGCUGCAACCAAGGGAAACAACUAUGAAAAUUAAAAGCAACUUGCUCUAUGUGUCUGGAUCACGCUCAGCCAAAUGUUGCUAACAACUUGGAUAAAAAUGUAAAUAUGACAAAGUUUGUUUUGCAGUCAGUAAGUCUUGAUAAAAGCUUUGUAUUUCUACCAACCAAGAACAGUUUUAAUUUUAAACUGGGGUUAGCAAACUUUUUCUAUAAAAGAACAGUUAGUAAAUAUUUUUCAGUUUUGUGGGACACAUAGGGUCUCUGUUGUAUAUUGUUCUUUGUAUUGUUUUAUUUUUUUUUUAACCCUUUAAAAAUGUUAGAAACCGUUCUUCGCUGUGGACCGCACAAAAAACAGACUGCAGGCCACAUCUGGCCUGUGGGCCUUAGGUUGCCAACCCUGAUUUUAAGGAAAGUGAAUCCAAGAAAAAAAAUGCAAUGUUAUAGAAUAAAACAUCUAAAAGUGCUCUCAUGAGACUAGGCUGCAACAAUUACCAGCAUACUGAUAUUAAUAUAAUUUCCUUAGUUGUUUUGCACAUGGAAGGAAUUUUAAUGACAGGCUGCAUGCACUUUGAUCUACCCUGAAACUACAGACAUUGAAAGAAAGGGCAAAGGAGAGCUAGAAUAUGCUGCGCUAUCCAAGUAUGAAUUCCUAUAGGACUCAGAGGCAUUGUAUUAGCAUUUACUAUUUCCCUGAACAGAUCUGGCUAAUCAAAACGGGAACAUCUUAACUUUCCCUUACAUAAAAGCAUACGUGCAAAAACGAAUUUUUCCCUGGAAGAGGUGGUGACUUGAAUUUAGGGAGCUGAUCAGAGUGAUCAGAAAGAGCAGCAGCUCAGGUUUGAGAAGUGAUACAGACUUGGAUUUGGGGUUUCACUAGAGACUCUGCUACAACCAGCUGUGUGAUCUUGACGCUAUCAACCUUAGUUUUCUCAUUUAUAAAACUGGGACAGAAGGAUAAAGUUUUCUGCUGUCAAACUGUGACUACACAAAAAUAAUGAAACCACUCAGGAAAUACCCUAACAGGAAGGAGGGGGUGGGGCAGAGGGGCAGACAGUAAAGGGAAGAAGACGGUCCUGUUAGAGGACAUGGCCAGGCUCAGUUCAGGUCCUUCUAAGAAGUCAGCAUGCCUUCGAAUCAAAAUUAAAAUGAACCCAUAUCCCACUGGACUCACAAUACAUAGCUAGCUGUAUUAUAUUUCCUAUAAUUGCCUUUUGCUUGUUGUCUUCAUGUUCCAUUUUGCAGACAUUUAAUUGAAUGUUAAUUAUGACUGUGUAAGGGGUUUGGGGGAGCCGAUCAAAAACCUCUUCUUAGUUCUCAAACACUUGAACUGGAAGGCUAGUUGGUCCUAGGCACUGGGCUAUAAUUUCAAAUGAAUAAAAUAUCCCUAUUCAAUUGUUAAUAAAUAUUAUCUGACUGAUAUUCUGGAAGAUUCCCAAUAAGCCAACUGAAAAAGCAGAAAGGAAAUGAGGGAAACUGAGGUAUCUGAGAAAAUGGCAGAACCUUAGAGAAGUAAAAAAAAAAAAAGUAUCUGUGAGACAACUGUAUCUGUAAUCCAAGUGACUAAUUGUCUCCUUCCUUCCAUGAUGGCAGAGCAGCUAGAGAAACAGCAUCUAGACAGCAAAGGCCCUUUUUUUAAAACUACUUAAACUUUGACAAAGCAAAAUUAAGACUUAAAAUGUGUCUUCGUGGGAAGAAACAGCCGCACAUACUUAUCUACCAAAACAUACACACAAACCCCAGACAUUAAGAAAUGGACCUUUCCUGUGAAGUAGACCUUAUCAAGUUUUGUCAGCUAUGCUGAGGCAGACCAUGUCAAAACUCAGUCAGAAAAGCCCAGGAACUUAAACCACCUAGGGACCUCAAGAAAUAGUUACGAUUAGGAGGAGAUGAACCAUCCUCUUACCUGAACAAUUUCAGAUCACAGGGGACAGGGAUGAAGGUUUCAGAGGGUGAACACUGCUGUUAGAGAUGCAGACACUCUGAUUCUACGGUUGUAGUCAGUGAAGAGUGUGUGGAACUUUUCACUAAAAUGGUGGUCGACAUUCACCUUAUUUUCCUAGCUUAAUUUCAACUACAAAGCUUUAGGUUUCAGGUAUAUAAAUUCUGCUGUUUGAAGGUCGUGUGACACCACUUCCUGUCAGGGCACUGAGGCUAAAUAAGAGGUAUGGAUUUCCCCUCCUCCAUGCCAACUGAAGACACAGUUGAGAGCCUCUUUUUACCACAUCCACCCCAAAGAACAUAUAAAGACCAAGAUCACACAUGAGAUUCACCCCAUUUAACAUCUACCUCCUGUUCAAGACAGUUUUAGGACACUGCAACUCUCCACAGAACCAAAUUUCAAUUAUUAAAAAAAAAUCUAAGCAAGAAAGAUUUAAUCCUUUAGGAUGAAAGUAAUUGUUAAAAGCUACUAUUGUAAAAGGAAACAGACACCCAUGUAAGGGGAAAAAAUUAAGGCAAAAAAAGAGAAAACUAAUAAAACUAUUAUAAAUGAAUUACAGUCAUCCAAGGAACUUAGCAGAAAGAGCAUCAAAGAGAUUCACUUACUUUCAACACAGAAUGUUUCUGGGAGGGUCACACACAGACUGAACAAAAGGCUACCCACUCAACUUGUUAGAAAUUGUCCUUUACCAUCUGGAUUGCAGGAUGCAUUCAACAAUGAAAACGAGUUAUUUGGGAUUUUGAAAGUAGUACCAGCAUCAAAAAUUAACUCCCUUUAGUUACAUCAAAAAUGAACGCCCUUUAGUUGCUGUAACAGCUCCCACCAAAUCUCUUAGGAAUAUACUUGAGAUGUGACAUUUAAAAUCUGCUUCCUCAGAAAAGAAAAAGUCCCACUCAAGAAUGACUGCCAAGAACUUGCAACUCAAACUUCCCUAAGCCCAGAUAUUUUGACACCAGGGAAGUUUCGGACCACUCGAUUCAUAUGAAAGAGGCCAACAAGCCACAGCCUUUCCUAGUACUUGAUUUGAAGAACAUUGUAUCACCAUUCUCUUUUUAAAUACAUUAUUCUUAAAACAUACAAAUAUUCAAAUACACUUAUUACCACAGCACUGGCCCCUGGUAUCCCAGAAGUUCAUGGUGGAAUAUGCUGGUAAGAACCAUUUGGAAGAUGCUUAAGUUAGUUACUAUAACAAUCCACGAACAUCACCCAGACAACCAAAAGCUAAGAUUCUUAAAGGCGUUAAUUAAGUGCAGCUAUUAAACAAGGGAAAUGAUGUUAAGGUCACUUGUACAGGCAUCUUAAAACCAGCUUUGAUUUGCUCUUCAGUUUAUGGUAAAAGAUCUUGGUACCUGAACACAAAGUCUCCCACUACAAAAGAAGGAAAGAUAGCUCCCAGCCAAGAUCAGGAAAAAACUGCAUCAAAGGUAAUUGGGGAGGUAUUUUGCAUGUUGUGAUUCAUUUAUCAAGUAAUAAUUAAAACCGAAGCAAAAUAUACAGAGAAGCAUGCGGAAUGUAAGAUCAGUUUCCAGCUGAGAAGCUGUUACACAUACAAGCCCAAGAAGUUAAAAAGUUGACAAGUGUUGCGUCUCAGGAGAUGGUAGUGAAAGGGUGAACAAUUUUUUUUCCUGAUCACACCAUCCCCAAAGUCACUGGUUCUCUAACACCCCUUAAAACUCACAGAACAAUUUAAUGCUCCACAGACACUCCAUCAUUAGUCACUUUUUGCUCUUGAUCCUGCACUUGAUCCAAAGGAAUUAGAGGGAAAAUGGUAACCAGACUCCCAGUUCCUGGAGAAAGUCCUGUGCUCCUACUGCUUUCCAUUUCCCCUCCGUUUCCCACCUUUUCUGCUCAACCACUCUACGGUAUAUUCUGCUUCCCCUUUUCCUAUCUCAUAUCCAGAAAUCCUUUACUUUCUCCACUAAGUACCCUCAUUCCUUCCUUUCGGUGCCUGAACUCUUCUCCCCAUCUAGUCAUUUUCUUCUGCCCCCUCCUGUGAAGAGAUGUCCAGACCUCUUGCGGCCGGUGCCCCUCAUCCUUCACCUCCUGACCACUCAUUCCCCUGAAUUCCCUCCCUGCUGCCGGGUUCUCGCCUCUCUUGUCCCUUGUGU
This is a long non-coding RNA of Manis pentadactyla (Chinese pangolin), 13981 nucleotides long. RefSeq lists it as uncharacterized. The transcript has 3 exons. NCBI's taxonomy places the organism in Eukaryota, Metazoa, Chordata, Mammalia, Pholidota, Manidae. The record is from RefSeq and is a predicted model, not a curated record.